UCUCUAUCUUUAACCUUGAGAUGGAGUGGAGUGAAUCACCACGCAGGUUCACUGCUGGCUUUGGAUUUUGAAUGUAGUUGUUAUUAAAUGAAGUAUAAUAGUGGAUAAUAGUGGUGAUGGAAGCUUCCAUUGUUGUAACAGUCCAAUUAUCCAGUCUAGUCAUCGUCAAUCUGUAAUACUCCGUAAAUAGAAAUCUCAAUGUGAUGAGUCCUAAAUCGGUAUAUCGAAACUAAUUGUAAAUCAUCUAACGUAAGUAUUACCAGUCGAAUGAAUACAUAUUUCAAUGCGUUUCGAUAAUCCUCUGUCUUUAAUUUUAACGAAACAUUAAAAUACUCAAAAAAAAUAGAUUCAUUUUUCCAUUAUAAAGUCAAAAGAAUAUUAGAUAAAAUUGCAUAUAUAAGAUUAUUCUUAUUUAUUUAAAAUCUUACAUUACAUUUCUAAAUUUUACUACAAUUUUUAUAUUAUGAAUCUAAUUGCUAGAUGAUAACACAAUUCCUUCCCAAUGACCAAUAUAUAUAAAUUCAUAAAAUGGUUUAUACCUGCAAAGAGAAAUAUAAGAUUAAAAAUUAAUAUAUGUUCAUUUUCAACGAGUGACAAUGGUCUAAAGUAAAAAUUACUGUUUGUUUAAUUACCUCUCUGUAUGAUGGUCAUCAACUUCAACGUAUAUAUUGUUGUAAAUAGUCAUGAGUUCCCUCAAGUUCACGCGAAGUUUUACCACUGGAGAAAAACUCAUUACGAGAGCUACUAUCUCUCCAGGAACUUCUCGACUCACAACUAAUACUUCGCAAUUGUAACAAUAAUCUGUAUUGAGUUUCACCACCUUCAAUUUCAAUGCACCUUGCUGAAGAGCUACUGAUGUUUUGCGCAAUCGAAUCAACGAUUGAUACAUCUUAUAAAGUGACUGUCGUGUCGUAUUUUUUUGAUUUUCCAAAUUCAAUUCUUUAUAAUUUUCAUGAAUCGGAAGCCACGUUCGAUUACCGUUACUGAAUCCUACAGACCCAUAAAUUUAUAAUAUCUUUUCAUAUGUUAUAUUUAAAAAAUACUGAAAUUUUAAGUUUCGGCUGGUCUUCUUACCCGCAUUUUUAUUACCGUCCCAUUGAAAAGGUGUGCGAUAUGGAUCACGAGAUCGACUUUGAUAUUUUUCCUUUCCGGCAUUACAAGCUUGCGGAUCCUGUGUGUCCUCCCACGAUAUGUCACUCUUAUCAACCAUUCCAAUUUCUUCUCCGUAAUAAGUAACGGCAACGCCAGGUAAGAU
Vespa mandarinia (Asian giant hornet) is the source of this 1255-nucleotide long non-coding RNA. RefSeq lists it as uncharacterized. Lineage: Eukaryota; Metazoa; Arthropoda; Insecta; Hymenoptera; Vespidae. The record is from RefSeq and is a predicted model, not a curated record.